AUAACGAGAGUGCAAGAAAAUGGGGAAAAUAUUAAGGUUAUUUGCGUGCUUUGUUCUUGUUUUUCUGGUGGUGAGCCACGAGGUACAAGCCGAUUGCUUCGACAAUUGCCUCGAGUUGUGUCGCACAAUUCAGAACCCCGAAUUCAUUUGUCUUCCCAAAUGUUUAGGUCUCAACUGUCUGAGAUCCAAUUCGGGAAAUGGAAAAUCCUGAAACGGAGGAUUGGAUGAACACCGGCAGGUCGAAAACCAUCACCGGAGAAUAUCAUAGCAAAGCUACGGCAGGUGGAACAAGAAUUGCCAUAAAAGCCCCAAUACUAAUGAAUCACAUCAACUUCUAAACUUCAAUAUUCUUGCAUUUAUUUAUUAAGGUAAAUGUACUAAUAAGUAAAUAUUUCAUUUAUUAAUCAUGAUAUGCAACGAAUAUAAUUUCAUAUUAAAUGGGAUUUGUGAAUGCAAAUAUAAAUUUAAACUUGAACAAUUUGUGAUUGCUACAACAAAUAAAGACUAUCGAAGUGGUAGUCUAAUUGGUUAAAA
Molecule: long non-coding RNA, 534 nt
Organism: Olea europaea var. sylvestris
Lineage: Eukaryota; Viridiplantae; Streptophyta; Magnoliopsida; Lamiales; Oleaceae
Exons: 2
Source: RefSeq, a predicted model, not a curated record